UAAGACUUCACCUCAAAAAGCUUUGGAUUAUUUUUGGAUUAUUGAUGCAGAGGCUCCAGCAGAGAUAAUGAACAUGAGAUUUACACAAGCUCCAGUCUGGAUCCAGAACACCUGAGAAGAGAUGAUGCCAACCCCUCAGAGGACCUCAGAUGAUGCUAACCCAGAGACAACAUACAGAACUACCACAUUUUGCUAUAAGUUUGAUUACAUAAUUGCUGUUAAUAGUGUUAAUCGUCUGUUUGUUUACGUCUUUUAUUGAUUUUUCCGAACAUUUCUG
Molecule: long non-coding RNA, 277 nt
Organism: Cyprinus carpio carpio
Lineage: Eukaryota; Metazoa; Chordata; Actinopteri; Cypriniformes; Cyprinidae
Source: Ensembl